Molecule: ribosomal RNA, 484 nt
Filed under: uncultured bacterium
Lineage: Bacteria
Description: bacterial SSU rRNA
Rfam family: Bacterial small subunit ribosomal RNA
Source: RNAcentral
GACGAACGGCUGGCGGCGUGCCUAACACAUGCAAGUCGAGCGGAGUCGAUCGACGGAAGCCUUCGGGCGGUAAGAUGGUUGACUUAGCGGCGGAUGGGUGAGUAACGCGUGGGCAACCUGCCUCGAAGACCGGGAUAACAGCCCGAAAGGGCUGCUAAUACCGGAUGUGGUCAAGGAUCCGCAUGGAUUUUGAUUAAAGGGGAAACCCGUUUCGAGAUGGGCCCGCGUCCUAUCAGCUAGUUGGUGAGGUAAAAGCUCACCAAGGCGACGACGGGUAGCCGGCCUGAGAGGGUGACCGGCCACACUGGAACUGAGACACGGUCCAGACUCCUACGGGGGGCAGCAGUGGGGAAUCUUCCACAAUGGGCGAAAGCCUGAUGGAGCGACGCCGCGUGAGCGAAGAAGGCCUUCGGGUUGUAAAGCUCUGUCUGGAGGGACGAAGGAAGUGACGGUACCUCCGGAGGAAGCCACGGCUAACUACGUG